Pezoporus flaviventris is the source of this 591-nucleotide long non-coding RNA. RefSeq lists it as uncharacterized. Lineage: Eukaryota; Metazoa; Chordata; Aves; Psittaciformes; Psittacidae. The record is from RefSeq and is a predicted model, not a curated record. The transcript is spliced from 2 exons.
UCUACCAUCUGAAUGGGCAAAAUUUGCUAGUAACACAGAACUAAGCUGCACCCCCCCUGUGUCUGGGAAGCUGCAUAAUAAAAUACAGAGGCUUUGAUUCCACUGGAUUUUUGCCACAGCUUGGGUACAAGAAGCAGUGAAACCUGAGAGAAAAUAAACAGAAAAUGUCUUAAAUUUGAACUGAAGUCCUUUAACAACCCCGUUUCCCCACUGGUUGUUGCAAGACUAGAACUGGUCUACAUCUUCCUACCUGGAACUGCUUAGUGUACAGUAACAAUUGCUCUUCCAAAUGGAUUUUAACACAUGUGAUGGAAAGAAUUUUUCUUCCCUUUUAUCUUGGUUCCUUUGAUGGGAAAAUUACCCCCCUGCUGUGAGUUACAACAGGGCAGUUAAGCAUUACAGAAAGCAAUUUCAGGGUGAGGGAAGUCAAAUAUGCUGUUACUGGUUAACAGUUCAAUUUCUCUACUUGCUGCUGGUUUGCUUCUGUCUAGUAAAGGGGAGAACCAAACAUUUACCAUCCGCAAAUUAAUACUGCUUAACACUGAUCUGUUGCAACCUGAAAUGAAAAAAAUACAUUAAAAAUAUGCCUAA